RNAcentral lists this long non-coding RNA (322 nucleotides) under Eucalyptus grandis. RNAcentral describes it as "long non-coding RNA (EGRA_LNC004424)". The record is from RNAcentral. Lineage: Eukaryota; Viridiplantae; Streptophyta; Magnoliopsida; Myrtales; Myrtaceae.
UUCUUUCCGUCCGGUCCAAGUUCCUCCACAACCUGCACAAGAAACAUGGCCUCGACGCAGUAUUAGGGUUUCCGACAUGUGCUAGAAACGUGUUUAAGAACAAGACCGACGAGACAGGUCUAAACGAAAUGUCUACACUUCAAUAAUAUCGACUCGACACUUCGAGAGAAGAGCCCAUCAGACCUGAAAAGCCGCAGAGGCUGGAGCAACGUCGUCGCCAUGAACUUGCUCUCCCCCUUCCACGGCGUCGGCCGGUGCAGGGCCACCAGAGAUAGGGUCGGAGUUGCCUUUCCAAAAUAACCUGUAGACUGCAUAGACUUCC